UUGAACGCUGGCGGCAGGCCUAACACAUGCAAGUCGAACGGUAACAGGAAGCAGCUUGCUGCUUCGCUGACGAGUGGCGGACGGGUGAGUAAUGUCUGGGAAACUGCCUGAUGGAGGGGGAUAACUACUGGAAACGGUGGCUAAUACCGCAUAACGUCGCAAGACCAAAGAGGGGGACCUUAGGGCCUCUUGCCAUCGGAUGUGCCCAGAUGGGAUUAGCUAGUAGGUGGGGUAACGGCUCACCUAGGCGACGAUCCCUAGCUGGUCUGAGAGGAUGACCAGCCACACUGGAACUGAGACACGGUCCAGACUCCUACGGGAGGCAGCAGUGGGGAAUAUUGCACAAUGGGCGCAAGCCUGAUGCAGCCAUGCCGCGUGUAUGAAGAAGGCCUUCGGGUUGUAAAGUACUUUCAGCGGGGAGGAAGGGAGUAAAGUUAAUACCUUUGCUCAUUGACGUUACCCGCAGAAGAAGCACCGGCUAACUCCGUG
RNAcentral lists this ribosomal RNA (489 nucleotides) under uncultured bacterium. RNAcentral describes it as "partial 16S ribosomal RNA". It matches the Rfam family "Bacterial small subunit ribosomal RNA", at positions 30 to 507 of the family's 1533-position model. The record is from RNAcentral.